Molecule: long non-coding RNA, 4338 nt
Filed under: Sus scrofa (pig)
Lineage: Eukaryota; Metazoa; Chordata; Mammalia; Artiodactyla; Suidae
Description: lncRNA (ENSSSCG00000055511.1)
Source: RNAcentral
CAACGCGGGAUCCGAGCCGCGUCUGCAACCUACACCACAGCUCAGGGCAACGCCAGAUCGUUAACCCACUGAGCAAGGGCAGGGACGGAACCCGCAACCUCAUGAUUCCUAGUCGGAUUCGUUAACCACUGCGCCACGACGGGAACUCCUGGGUUCCGUAUUUUCUAUGUCUGUUUUUCUAUCCCAUGUUUUGGUUUCAAAUCACAGGGUAAUAUGUCUUAUUCCUCCAUAUUUCUCCAAUUCUAGAAAGGUGCUUUGGAUACAAUUAUGCAACUAUUAAUUAUUUGGAAAUCUUGUUAGGUGAACCAGCAUCUAAUCUUCAAAAUAUAUGACUAGCGAAGCUGACUUUCCCUACAUAUUAAAGAUGUAGUAAAGAAAUCUCAAUUUUAGGUUGGCUGAUACCCAGGCACUAUCUCCCCUUAGAAAAAGUAAAGACAGAAGUAUCAACCAUUCUCUAAUUUACUGCAAUGCCGAGGAUAAAGCUCCAUUGUGAGAAGAGGAUGCCUAAGCAUCUAAUUCCCAUUUUUUUUACAUAACUGGAAAGACUCUUGCUAUUUCCUCUUCCUUUACAAUAUACUAAUAAGUACCACUCUGGAAGAACUAUAUACAAUUUAUUUUAGACUUUGCAGUGAAUUGAAAUUGAGAGAUCAUGGAGUCCCUGCAAGGAUUUCUCAUUUUUGAAUUUGAUGUUCUCAGUGUUUAAAUGGCACUCCUUGAAAAGAUUCAUACUUUAAAAAAAAAAAUCAAUUUCAGCUCUGUGAAGAGAAUAUGGGGAAAUUAAUACCUCAAAAAAAGUCCUGAAAUGCAAGAUUGGUUUAUAGAAACAUCAUGUAGUAUGAUCUUAUUUCUAUUCUACUAACCUUUUUUUUUUCAAUAUCAUGGAAUUUUUUUUUGAUGGAAUACUUUAUUGAUGGAAAUGCAAAUAUUGAAAAAAAAUUGUAGUGGUUAAAAUGAACAACUUUUCCAUAAAAGGUGGGGUUCACUAAAUUUCUAGGCAUACAGAAUUUUUACUAUAUGUGAAUUUUUUAUGAACUAACAUUCAGAAAAGAGGUUUCAUGAGCCUAAAGGGAAUAUAUGUCAGAUUAUAUUGAUUGAGUGAGAGAUAAUGGUGAUAAUAAUAAUAGCUAAAAUUUAUCCUGGGUUUUUCUUCUAACAGACUCAAAGUACUUUAUAUAUGGAGCUUUAUUUUUUACCCUGUAGGAACAGUAUUUUUAGGAGGCUGCUGACCCAACAGGAGGCCAUAGGAAAUAGUUUCAUUAUCCCUUAGUGCCAGGCUGGGUAAGAAGAAUAUUUAUCUUUCCAACCCUGAGAUGAAGUGAAACAUACAUAGUCAUUCUGGUCAUAAAGGCUCAAAGUCCCUGGGGUCCCAUUUCAUGAUCUGCAAGUGAUUCAAGUGAAAACACUGAGAGUAUAUAAAUAUGGAAAGUCUUCUAAGACAUUUUCUCCUUUUGUAGAAUUCUAAAGGUUCUCUUUUCUUAGUCCUGUCUUCAUAGUGAGUUUUUUGGGGUGAUACUGAAUUAGAGACAUUUGUGCCAGCCACUUUCCAAGGUUGGCCUCAAUCUGGGAGAUAGAAAGAAAGUCGAUUUAGAGCCAAAUAAUUAUAAUGUUUAAAUGGACAGUGUCCUAUUUUUGAAAUAAUCAACUAUUGUAAUGAGAAAGCAGACUAAACAAAGGGAGGUGACUUGCUUAGGAUCACUUAAAUUUCUAGCCUCUGAAUGAGAAUAGAGUCCUUCUUCUACCCCUGAUGGUUCAAGAAGGCAAGGCUUUGAAGGAAAAUCACUAACUUAUUAGCUCGUAUUACAUUUGAGCAGCACCACUGAUAAGGCAAGUAUUACAGUUCUUUCCACUUUACAGAGUGAAGCGGGAAAGGGCUAUAGGAACUGUCCCCAUUCCUCCAGUUCUUUCCAAGUUCAGCCUCCCACAUUCUUAUUGAUACACAUUCCAAAAGGGCGGCUCCUUUACUUCCCCAAAGAAAGAUGUUAUUAAUUACCUAAUUUAUUUGCCAUUGUUGCUUUCAACUCUAAAUGAGUAAAUAAAGAGCUUUUCUUUAAUAAAGAGGUACUUUUGUAUCAACAGUGUGGAAUCUGCUCUAGAAUAUCCCCAACAUCUAUUUCCCUUGCCUCUGAAUCACCACCUCCAGGGAUUAGCAUUUUCUCCACUAUAAGAAAGUUAUAUUAAUUACUAGACCAUUUUUAGUGUUAAUGUUUAAACAUUUUUUAUUAUAAUGAACUACCAUCUGCCUUCCUUUUCUGUAUAACCACUGGCCCUAGUUUUGCCCUCUAGGGUAACACAGAUUAAAAUGAGUUCUCCCUUACGACACUUAUUUUUCUAUCUAAGGAGAGCAACCUCAUCAUUCUUAUAAUUCAUUUUUUCUCCAAGAUAAUGUAUUUCCAAAGAACAAAAAUAAGUUAGCCCCCUUUAAAUUUAAAUUAAAGUUAGGAAAAGAUUAUAUAUUAUAUAUACAUAUCUGAAAGACUGUUAGAGAAGUGGUAGAUGAUAGAAAAGUCUUCCAUCCUGAAGCAUGGCCAAGAAGACAUCUAGUUAUUUCUGUGUUGCCAUGAAUAAGUUUUUUGCCUUAUCAUUUACUUCUUGGGUAGUAUUUGUAAACUAAGAAGAUAGGAAUAGAUGAUAAUUAUGUUACCCAGAUCUAAAUGUUUUAUUCUUACCAUAUAUAUUUUGGAAAAACAAAACAUCAAGUUUACUGCUUCCUUGAAAUUCUGUUUGCACUUGGUAGCUUUAAUCCAUACUUUCCAGGUAUGUUCUAAAGCAGACAGCAAGCUGAAUGCUUUGAGCAAACUAUACUAGUAGAUAGAGUCCCCAUAAAUCCAAAAAUGAGUAACAGAAAACAUGCCAGUUUUGUACAUUUUCCAGAAUUUUAAGUGAAUUUUUUUUUCUUUUUAUGGCUGCACCUGCAGCAUAUGGAAAUUCUAGGGUCGGGGUCAAAUCGGAGCUGCAGCUGGCAGUCUACGUCAUAGCCACAAUAGCACCAGAUCUGAGCUUCAUCUGUGACCUACACCACAGUUUGCAGCAAUGCUGGAUCCUUAACCCACUAAGCAAGGCCAGGGAUCAAACCUGCAUCCUCAUAGACACUAUGUUGGGCUCUUAACCCGCUGAGCCACAACAGGAACUCCCUUAAGUGAAUAUUUGACAAAACUGAUUAAACAGAUUUUUGGACCUGUGAAGGCUUUAAAAUACUAGUCUGUUUUGUCCUAAAUAACAUACCUUAUUAUGUGAAUGAAAACAGCCUACGUUUGUUUUCUGGGGAAGGAGGAGGACAAAUUAGUUCUUAAUAUUAUAUAAGGGCUGGAUCUGAGUUAUUUUUAGAGUAAAGCUUCAAUGUAGUUUUUAGGAGUGUUACAGUUUGAGUGAGGCCAUACCUGACCACUAGUUCUCCUUUUAUAGAGGAAACUGUUGAUUAAGAUACAAGGGGCAUAGAUUUAUUUUAAAUUUAAUGCAACUCAAUAAAACAAAUACAUAUACAAAUAUUUCAUUUUAAACAGCCAUUUUUUUGUGGCAAAUCCAAAUACAGAAUUCAUCUUCUAAUACUAAUUUAUUUUUUUUCUGUUAUAGUUAUAAACAGCUGCCUGAAAUCUACAUAAAUUCAUUACUCUGUUUUUUUUCAUGGCCCCACAGUAUACGGAGUUUCCGGGCCAAGCCUCAGAUCCAAGCCACAGUUGUAACCUAAGCUGCAGCUGUGGCAACACCGGAUCCUUCAUCCACUGUGCCGGGAUGAGGAUGGAACUUGCAUCCCAAGGCUCCCAAGACGCCUCAGAUCCUGUUGUGCGACAGUGGAAACUCCAUAAUUCAUUAUUAUUAAUAAUGAGAUUAUUUGUACUAUUUGAGGCAAAAUGUUGGCAUUUUUAAACUUGCAGUGCAUUUGGACCAAUCCACUGAAAUUACAGUUUUUUAUGUUUUUAAUUCAUGAGUACAAACUGAUGGACAAAAUAUCAUUUUUCCUUCUUCUGAAAAAAACACUUAGAAAGUUGAAUGAGAACAAAGUAGCACUCUGGUCUCCAACUGACUGGUCCAGUAUUUCUUGCUAAGACUUGUUUCCAGAUUUUAGUGUGUGUGUGUAUGUGUGUGUUUUCUCGCUCCUUUCCUACGGCACUGCUAAUAAUCUCAUGAACACUGCACAGAUGUUUUUCCCAUUCUUUGGCAUACUUAUUUUUCAAGUGGCUUCUGAGAGCAGAUGCUCCCAUGUGUCUUUGUAACUUCUUUCCAGUUGAUGUUUUUGCAACAUUAAAAAAAAAAUGUGGGGGUGGAGAGGAGGAAUACUAAAGAAGACCAAUUACAGAAGCAAAAUAAAGACCAGUGUAUGUUUAACUUUUUAUCAUGAAU